GGCUUGAUGGUCUAGAGGUAUGAUUCCUGCUUUGGGUGCAGGAGGCCCCGGGUUCGAUCCCCGGUCAAGCCC
Molecule: transfer RNA, 72 nt
Filed under: Fomitopsis schrenkii
Lineage: Eukaryota; Fungi; Basidiomycota; Agaricomycetes; Polyporales; Fomitopsidaceae
Description: tRNA-Pro (TGG) (tRNA-Pro-TGG-1-1)
Rfam family: tRNA
About the family: Transfer RNA (tRNA) molecules are approximately 80 nucleotides in length.
Source: RNAcentral